Anarrhichthys ocellatus (wolf-eel) is the source of this 6757-nucleotide RNA transcript. It is a transcript of the gene named THAP domain containing, apoptosis associated protein 1, with no coding region annotated. The transcript is spliced from 4 exons. NCBI's taxonomy places the organism in Eukaryota, Metazoa, Chordata, Actinopteri, Perciformes, Anarhichadidae. The record is from RefSeq and is a predicted model, not a curated record.
AAAAAUAAGAAAUCAGGAAGGGGGCAAACACUUUUUCACACAAUUGUAUAUGAUGAAACCACUGUCUGACAGGCCCCUUGCUGUCUGAAGAGGAUCAAGACUAAAUGAUUAGAGCCAGAAACUUAAAACAAAUACAGUUUAAAGGGGAUGUUUGCAGAAAUAUCUGUAAUUUUUUGGUAGUUUUCUCUUCUGUGAGUUAUAAGUCAUUUGACUCUGUGUUAUUGUGAACUGACUUUCAUUGUGUUUUAGACUAAAAAAGAAGACACAUCACCUUUUUUUAUAGCAAUAACGAUUAAAUAAAAGAGUAAUUUACAGAAGAAUUGAUAAUGAGAAUAAUCCUUUGUUGCUGGCCAAGGUUAUUACCCAAACUGUUCAAAAAUGAGUGUUUGUUCUAAUUCAGCUCUGAUGAACUUAGACAGUGAGAAGAGAUGUUCAUUCUUCUUUGGGAACAGUAGUAAAGACAAUUUCAAGCUUAAUGGUCCAAUUCGUAGCUUUAUCCAGAGCUUUCAACUGCAUGUCACACUCUUGAACGAAUGGAGCAGUUUUACUUGUCAUUACAUGACCACCUGUGGGUUUUGAAGUGUGGUCAUUGUUCUAAGAAGGUCUGGUGUUGGAUGUGAUUGAAUGUCUAAUGACUAAUGGUCGAUGACCUUUGACUUGACUAGUUGAGGUUGUGAUUUGUUUUGGUCUGGUGUUCACAGAGAGCCAGUUGACCAAAAGUUCACUAUGGCUUAUGGUGAACCUGAGUCAGUUCCAUGAAGAUUGUGAGACGUGGCUGACAACAACAAAAAAAAACAUGAAUAAGCUGAAAGAUAAAAUAAAGGUUUGGAGUUACUUCUGACCAACCUCAUAUACGCCAAAGCUUUUACCAACAUCACUAAAAUUGAAUAUGUUCCAGUAAAAUGGCUGAGAGGAAAGAUGGACAGAAGUAUGAAAAUAUAAUGAAAACUACAAGAAACAAAAACAAUUUUUUUGUAUACGGUCGUAAGAGAUUCUAGACAUUUCUCCUAAAUAGAGAAAACGGAUUGCAGUUUGCAAGGAUUGCACUUGCUGAAAUCAUUUCAUUUAAGUCGAUGCUAACAUAUAAAUAGAACAGGAGAAGAAAUGGUGUUUCCUUUAUUUUGGCAGCCCCCUAACUUUGUUAUAUUUUUCUGUUCAUUCAUUUCUCUCUUAAGUCCGUUCCAGGGCUAACGUAUAAAUUAGACAAAUAAUAUCCCAUUUCAGAAGUUUUUAAAUAUUCCCUUCAUUCCUUGUUGUACUCCCUUUUUUUAAUCUUCCCUUCCUUUUUUCUUCCUGCUUCUUUAAUGGUGUGUUGAGGUGCAGUCGUAUAGAUUGGAAAAAAGACCUCCCUCAUCAUAACCUCAGCCUAAUUUCUAAACUUUGACAGCUGCAAAUAAACUGCCAGCUGGCAAGAAACUGAGUUGUAAAGAACAUUUUUUAUGUCCAGAUUUCAGUCUGCAGUUGGUUUGCCUUAUGGCCUUUAAUGCUUUUCGCUCAACCACUGGACUAGAUUUUACAGAAUAGUGAGGAUAAACAUGUCAUAGUUGUUCUGGUCUUUUGUUGCUAUAUAAAGCUCGUCCGACCAACCUGCCCUGUUGAAAACACCUCUUUUAUUGAUAAAGUUUAUUUUUAACAACAAAUUUUGUGUUGGAAAUGAUCACAUCUUAACUUCCAUAGUACUAUAUUUCCCAUGAAUUGGCCUGCUCUAGCUGUAAGAUAUUGCUCAAUGUUUAUAUGUGAAAGCCGAAUGAUAAACAAAGUGCUGAAGCCUCAGGACAGUAACAUCGGAACAACACAUUUUUGGCUCUCGCAACUACAUAGCCCAUGAUGCUUUGACACAGCCUUCAGAUGGAUUUCAUACAGUCACAGCCAAAAAUAUUGUCACCUGUGGACAUUUUUUUGCUGUCAGAAAAAAUAUUUUGGUAUUUAUUCCAGUUUGCCCAGUCACACUCUGUUUGCCAGUGCUACAUUAGUUAGCCUAAAGAGCAACACACCUCUACAUAAUGUAAUAACAAUGUAUAAAUAUCAAGAAAUAUUAACAGCACCGUAGUUAAUAUUACCAUAGUUAGUUAGUUACCAUAGGCCUAUGUUGAUAACUAAAGUACGUUUACACUGUCAAGUAAAUCAUAUUAAUGUAGCACCAAAUCGCAACAGAAUUGAUCUCAUGACACUUCUUUUCAAAACAGGUCUAAACCAUACUCCUUACAGAGACCUAGCAGGGGAUGAGCAACUUGCCUGUGGUACCAGUGGAAUCUGUAGAAAACACGCAACAAAUAUUUUUAUACAAACACAACAUUCAGCAUCCGUUUUGUUGUAGGUCACAAUACUGUGCAAAAAACUAACAAGAUUAUUGAAAGUUGUUUUGGUAGAACCAAGAAUCUACAAAACACAUCUUUUAAAUAUGCAGAGUAUUAUUCCUCUUUCGCCAUAAAACCAAAUCCAAACAAUGCACAAACAAAACGAGGAAUUGAUAUUAUUGUGAAAUGUUACACAUUUGUUUAUUUAUAAGGAAUCCUAUUGUAAAUAUCUGAACACAUUUUCUUGAUAAAUAUGUUGCUAUAAACUAAGAUGUUUCAAUGUUUCUAUAUCAGACUUGCAGUAAUAGCAGAGUGUGAUAUAUUAAUUGGAAGGAUACAUUUCAGAUAGAGGUACUUUGAAUUUAAGCAUUAUGGGGUAUAAAUAGUGUAACUGUCAUAUUGCAAUGUGUUUUUGUACAAAAUCCAUUAAAUUACUGCCGAGGUACACACAUUUUCUGAAAUAAUUUCUUAGUAUACUCUAUGUAUUACAUUUUUGGUCCAUAACAUGAAUCAUUGUAAUGAUCAGGUUGAAUAUCAUUAUUUCAAUAAUCUCUAGUCAAAUUAGAUAGCAAAUAAAAGAUAAAACCCAAGCAUCCUUUGAAAAGUGGUAAUUGUGAGAUUAUGAAUGUUUUUCUACUUCUCGUGUACGGUAGCGUAUUGCAUUCACAAAAGAAAACAAAUUAUACACUUUAUCUCAUGAGUUGCCAUCUCAUAAUUUCAAAAGAAAAUCUCAUAAUUAUGACAAAAGAUUUCGUAAUUAUGAGAAGGAUUUUGGCCACUCUAUACUACAAAAUAAUUAAGAUAUGCCUUUCCCAAUAAAACUUCAACAAAAUUAUGCCUGAGCACAUUUUUCUAUAAGUGUUGUAGAACAAGGAGUAGAUAAUUGCUGUAUGAAGUGAUUUUAGUGUAGUUACACUGCACUGCAUGCCAUUGAAGUUAUUGAAUAUGUUUGCUGUAUGUCUUUUCAGCUUUACACCUUCACACAGUCUGCUGCACACAGUAGACAAUAUAUUUGUCCAGCAGACCAAUUACUAGAUCGUUGUCUACCUUUCUACGGUUGCAAAAAGGCAUCGUUUGUGUUUUCAUAUUUUUUUGCUUACGAGUUAUUGAUCCGGGAAGUCUGAAUCUGUGAAUAUCUUUCCAACUUUACCGAAAAAAAGCUACCCUUACCCUUAACUUUGUCAUAAUUACGAAAUACUGAUCUCAUAUUUACGAGAUAUUUUGUCAUAAUUACGAUAUCUUAAUUACACGUUAUUUUCUUUUUAUCACGAAACAGUAACUCAUAAUUACUACCUGGUGUCUAACUUUUUUUUUUUCAUUUGUGAGUGCAAUGCGCUUCCUUACUAGUGUUAUUAUUACAGGAAGAUAUGGGAAGCGAAUUCUGCCCAAUCAGAUCCGAAAACAGUUCGCGUCACCCAAUCUCCGCCGCCAUGAUUCUUAAUGACAGUGAGUGAAGGCUGUGUGAAGGGUGAAGAACUAUACAUCCACGUUGAGGAGGAGCAACAUCGGAGCUUCGUGGAGUAAAGGUCCGGGCGUCAGUGGGUGUCGUCCGGGCAGCCGCCAUGGUUCAGACGUGUUCAGCAUACGGCUGUAAGAACCGCUACCAUAAAGACAAAGACAUUUCAUUCCACAAGUUUCCUCUGGCACGCCCAGAUGUUAGUGCUAAAUGGGUGGCGGCGAUGAGGAGGAACAACUUUAAGCCAACAAAGUACAGUAACAUCUGCUCGCAGCACUUCACCAAAGACUGCUUCAAGAGAGAGUGCAACAACCGAGUGCUGAAGGAGAAUGCUGUGCCGUCGCUCUUCACCUUCAACCUCAACAUCAAGGCGGAGUCCCUGGAGAAUCCCUUCCCCUCAGAAAUCCACUUCCCUCUGACCUCUGACCCGGUGGUAGAGGAGGAGGAGCCAGCGAGAAGCCUGCCCGAAAUCCGGUGCGACACAGUGGCAGUCUCCUGCGACCACAACUACACAGCGGAGGAUUCUGCUAGGCAGAAGAAGCGCAUGGAGCAGCUCGAGGAGCAGUUGGGGAGUCUGAGGAAGAAGCUGAAGACGACGCAGCAGAAGUGUCGGCGGCAGGAGAGAGAGCUAAAGAGACUGAAGGCGGCAUGUGAGACACCAAGGACCGGCCGCGAGCUGCCAGCAGCUCUCGGAGAGGGAUAUGUGAUUUUACCGAAACACGUCUACUACACACUCAAAGACAUUAAGUAACACGUGACAGAGAUAGGGGAGAUGAGUGUGGUCAAACUGAGCAGCAGAUAAAAGAUCUGCUGUAGGUUCAAUCUCACAUGUCUCAGCAGCAUCAGCCAGGCGGACUGUUGAAGAGCUGUUGAGCAAGGCAGCAAAGCCCCGAGCUGAGAGCUGAAGGACCUUGUUCGGGAAUACAAAUGCAUGAUGUGGAAAACUUGAAUCUGAUUUGGUGGAUAUAACAAACUCCUUGCGUAUUCUUUUUCUUCUUCUGUUUGGGCUGUGGUGAAAUUACUUUAAUUAAUCUCGCUUUAAAGAAGACCUUUAUGCGUAUUCUUAUUUAAUAAUUAGUUAAUUUAUAAUGUUACAAUGUCUGAUGUUCAUAUUAAAUGUGCCAAAGUGUCAAAUAAUGAGGUAAAAGUAUUUCCUGUGAGCAAAAACAUCAGGCUUCUGACCAUUGUGAACAUUGUUUCCAACAAUGUUUUUUUACUUUGGUCAGUUCGUGCCAGAUUUCUUUAUAUGGUCAUCUAUUCCAGGCAAAGCGCUCCUGUGAAGUACAGGGAGGCGCCCAACUCAUAGUUCACGCCACUUCUCAGAGGACUCUUUCGUCAACGCACCACGGUAUGUAGCCAGAUUUUCAGCUAAGCAUAUGCUAACAGACGGGUCGAUCUAUAAAGGGCCCUGUUGACGAGUCAGCGCAAACUGUAAGUAAAACUAUCUGAAAUGUUUCUCUUGUAUUGAUGAUCGGACUAAAUUGCUUAUGAACACAGUUUCAGUGCAAACAAUGGGCAUAUACAAUAUGGAUCAAUUGAUUUAGGGAGCUAACAGUGAUUUGCACACCUAAAUGGUUGAAAUAGUUAGCUUUAAGUGAUUGAUACACAGUUGAAACGUCUGACAGGGCUGUUUGGGUACCUCAAACCAACUUGUUAACUUAUAGACACCGUUAUUUUAUGUAGAACAAACAUUAUUGUAUAAUAUUAUUUCUGAAGACUAAAGUUAUUUAUUGUCCCAAAUAUCGUACACCACAACCGAUGUUUGAACAUAGGACAGACACACCGCAUGCCAAACUGAUCCUGAACUCACAGUCACUGUUGCAAUGCAGUUCUUCCCCCAGAUGGUAUGAUAAUAAUUUUCCUAAGUGACUCCUACCAGAGGGAUGGGAGAGUGGUGGUGGCUGGGUUCAGUUGGUGUGGUCUCUACCCUCUGGACCCAAUGGCCAUUGAUGGUCAAGGGUCACUGUCCUGGCCUUGGUGUAGGACCAUCCUCACCACCUCCGCCAAACCCAUCACCAUCUUCCUGGGCUGCGCCUGAUGUUACCCACCUCUCCAGACAUCUCUAUCCCCUGUUGGCCCUGUCAUAGAGUGUCAGCGUUAAGCAGCCAUCCCCUGAACCCUACCCCAACCCAGAAUACCCAGAACCCCCCCGUCACCUCCUCCUCCCCCAAUAAUAAGCCACCCAUCCCGUGGUAACAUCAGGCCAGAUAAGAGUAGAUCUGGCCCACCUCCUGGCUGAGGAGGCAGAGGACUGUGCGAUGCCCAAGCGCUGGCCAAAAGAGGCCGAAGACACCAGCCGGGUAGCCACUUCCCCUACCUGCCGGGCGUCUCGAGGCUGCCCCAGCCACCAGCUCCGGCCUUUCCAUCGCUGGCCCCUCAACCUGCUCUGCCCCUUCUGACAAGUCCCUGUCUGCCCGCCAUCAGCGGCAUACUAUCACCAAUGAUCCUGCCUAUUGAGGGACAUCACCAACUUCACCCAACUCCUGGUCAGCGAGGUAAUGAUAAAGCCUAUCUUUUAUACUUUUUGAUUCAAAUAAAUAACAAAAUAUAUUUACUAUUGUGAUGCCCAGACAUUGUUAUGAGUAUGUUUUAUUAGUGUUAUAAUAAUAAGAUGUGAUUAUUUUAGAGCCUUCAAAACCGGCAGUGGGAUGUGGCCUCUGAAGGUCCCAAACUCCUUCCUCUCCCUCCUACUGUAAAUGCUUUGUAUAAUCUGUAAAAACAAGCAACAUUUUAACACGUUGGUGACAUUAAGAGUAAACAAAAGACGUUUAAGAUUUGUCUGUUAUUUAUACAGCCUCCCAACCUCCAGACCAGACCCUUAUCAUGUAGCUCCUCGUCUUCUGGAUCCAUGACAUCCCCGCUAGUGUACUUAAUGUAUACAUUAACAAUGUUAAUGUCUUUGCACGCCAACCCAUGACAAUCAGACAAUUUUCUUUAAAGGAACAGUGUGUAACAUUUAGGGGGAUUAAUUGGCAGCAUUGGAAUAUAAUAUUCAUAACUAUGU